AAAAGCCUUCGGGGAUGGGUGAAAUUCCCUACCGGCGGUAUGGAGGGCGGAUGACCUUCCGAGCCCGCGAGCCCUGCACCAUCACGCAUGUUGCAGGGUUGAUCUGGUGAAAGGCCAGAGCCGACAGUAAAAGUCUGGAUGGGAGAAGGCAUAG
Molecule: non-coding RNA, 154 nt
Filed under: Desulfofundulus australicus
Lineage: Bacteria; Bacillati; Bacillota; Clostridia; Eubacteriales; Peptococcaceae
Description: Desulfotomaculum australicum FMN sequence
Rfam family: FMN riboswitch aptamer (RFN element)
About the family: The RFN element is a highly conserved domain that is found frequently in the 5'-untranslated regions of prokaryotic mRNAs that encode for flavin mononucleotide (FMN) biosynthesis and transport proteins. This element is a metabolite-dependent riboswitch that directly binds FMN in the absence of proteins.
Source: RNAcentral